Molecule: non-coding RNA, 74 nt
Organism: Triticum aestivum (bread wheat)
Lineage: Eukaryota; Viridiplantae; Streptophyta; Magnoliopsida; Poales; Poaceae
Source: Rfam
UCCUCAAUAGCUCAGUUCGGUAGAGCGAUCAGCUGUUAACUGAUUGGUCGUAGGUUCGAAUCCUACUUGGGGAG